This 390-nucleotide ribosomal RNA is filed under the name uncultured bacterium. RNAcentral's name for it is "bacterial SSU rRNA". It matches the Rfam family "Bacterial small subunit ribosomal RNA", at positions 28 to 420 of the family's 1533-position model. The record is from RNAcentral.
GACGAACGCUGGCGGCGUGCUUAACACAUGCAGGUCGAGCGGUAAGGCCCUUCGGGGUACGACGAGCGGCGAACGGGUGAGUAACACGUGGGUGACCUGCCUCUAGCUCUGGGAUAAGCCUGGGAAACUGGGUCUAAUACCGGAUAUGACUCCACGGCGCAUGUUGUGGGGUGGAAAGCCUUGUGUGGCUAGAGAUGGGCCCGCGGCCUAUCAGCUUGUUGGUGGGGUGAUGGCCUACCAAGGCGACGACGGGUAGCCGGCCUGAGAGGGCGACCGGCCACACUGGGACUGAGACACGGCCCAGACUCCUACGGGAGGCAGCAGUGGGGAAUCUUGCGCAAUGGGCGAAGGCCUGACGCAGCGACGCCGCGUGAGGGAUGACGGCCUGGU